This is a non-coding RNA of Vicugna pacos (alpaca), 1061 nucleotides long. The record is from RefSeq and is a predicted model, not a curated record. NCBI's taxonomy places the organism in Eukaryota, Metazoa, Chordata, Mammalia, Artiodactyla, Camelidae.
CCGUGUGUCAAAUUUCAAACCCUGAGUAUAAAUUAAGCCAUUAAUGGUAUUUAUCAGUUUAUCUGGACUUAAGGAACUACUUACUAAUUUAAGACAUUCCUAAUAUAGAACCCAAGCGUCUUCGCUGUAGCAAAACAUGAAAACUGAAGUGUGACAACAAAGCCUGAGCCCAGUCCAACCAACAGUGUGUCCCUCCGGAGCACCAGCUGGAGCCCACCGAGGCCCUGGAGGGAGGAGGCAAGGAGGGGGUCACACUCCCAGGAUGGAAGUCCAGGGCCGCCUUCCUUACAACACAGAUGGCAUGGCAACUCGAUUUCAUGUUGAUUAUUAAAGGCGUGGGAGGAUCCAUCUGGGUUCUGCAGGAAGCAGUGCUGUCGAUGGUAAGCUCUGCCACGUGUCAGAAGAGCCAUCUCGUCGCCAGCCCUAUGCUGCGGUUAAGGCUGCUACCGCGUCUCUCCCCAGCCGAGCGCUGUUUGCCCCACGCGAACAAGUGGGCAAACACGCCUCACGGCUGAGGGCGUUGGUCCAGGGAGAGCUCACAGCCAGGUGGGGAGGGAGCCCUUCUCAAAGUGCCCACCUUGGUCUCUUAUCCAUCAUUUGGAUUCAAUUUGGAGAUAAAGCAAACAUCUGAGUGGGCUGGUCCCCACCUGCUAGAGGAAGGGUGGGCAUUAUACCCCUUUGCAGGGGGGGACAUUUGAAGGGCAGAAAGCAUGAGAAACAAGGCUGCUAACAGUGAAGUUCAACUCCCCUCCUCAGCUUCUGACUCAAACUCCAGGUUCUUCCCAAAGACACUUGAAACCAGUAUCCUUUUCUGGAAAGUGUUCAGCACUUUCAAGUCCUCACUGACUUAAUAAACCCCAGAAGGCAUCGGUCCUAAGAUGCCUCUGACUGUCAAAGCUGAAUCAAUGCCAAACUCUUAAAACACAGCUUGGAAUGUAUUCAAUAUCACUGAAUUGUACACUUGAAAAUAGUUAAAAUGGCAAAUUUUGUUAUGUAUCUUUCAAAUAUAAAAAUUAAUAUUUUUAAAAUAGUUUUAAAAAUUAAUAAGCUAAUAUACCAAA